UUUUAUUUGAGAGUUUGAUCCUGGCUCAGGAUGAACGCUGGCGGCGUGCCUAACACAUGCAAGUUGAGCGAUUUACUUCGGUAAAGAGCGGCGGACGGGUGAGUAACGCGUGGGUAACCUACCCUGUACACACGGAUAACAUACCGAAAGGUAUGCUAAUACGGGAUAAUAUAUUUGAGAGGCAUCUCUUGAAUAUCAAAGGUGAGCCAGUACAGGAUGGACCCGCGUCUGAUUAGCUAGUUGGUAAGGUAACGGCUUACCAAGGCGACGAUCAGUAGCCGACCUGAGAGGGUGAUCGGCCACAUUGGAACUGAGACACGGUCCAAACUCCUACGGGAGGCAGCAGUGGGGAAUAUUGCACAAUGGGCGAAAGCCUGAUGCAGCAACGCCGCGUGAGUGAUGAAGGCCUUCGGGUCGUAAAACUCUGUCCUCAAGGAAGAUAAUGACGGUACUUGAGGAGGAAGCCCCGGCUAACUACGUGCCAGCAGCCGCGGUAAUACGUAGGGGGCUAGCGUUAUCCGGAUUUACUGGGCGUAAAGGGUGCGUAGGCGGUCUUUCAAGUCAGGAGUGAAAGGCUACGGCUCAACCGUAGUAAGCUCUUGAAACUGGGAGACUUGAGUGCAGGAGAGGAGAGUGGAAUUCCUAGUGUAGCGGUGAAAUGCGUAGAUAUUAGGAGGAACACCAGU
This 686-nucleotide ribosomal RNA is filed under the name Clostridioides difficile. RNAcentral describes it as "bacterial SSU rRNA". It matches the Rfam family "Bacterial small subunit ribosomal RNA", at positions 1 to 713 of the family's 1533-position model. The record is from RNAcentral. Lineage: Bacteria; Bacillati; Bacillota; Clostridia; Peptostreptococcales; Peptostreptococcaceae.